GUAACCUGCCCAAGAGACUGGGAUAACACCUGGAAACAGAUGCUAAUACCGGAUAACAACACUAGACGCAUGUCUAGAGUUUGAAAGAUGGUUCUGCUAUCACUCUUGGAUGGACCUGCGGUGCAUUAGCUAGUUGGUAAGGUAACGGCUUACCAAGGCAAUGAUGCAUAGCCGAGUUGAGAGACUGAUCGGCCACAUUGGGACUGAGACACGGCCCAAACUCCUACGGGAGGCAGCAGUAGGGAAUCUUCCACAAUGGACGAAAGUCUGAUGGAGCAACGCCGCGUGAGUGAAGAAGGGUUUCGGCUCGUAAAGCUCUGUUGGUAGUGAAGAAAGAUAGAGGUAGUAACUGGCCUUUAUUUGACGGUAAUUACUUAGAAAGUCACGGCUAACUACGUGCCAGCAGCCGCGGUAAUACGUAGGUGGCAAGCGUUGUCCGGAUUUAUUGGGCGUAAAGCGAGUGCAGGCGGUUCAAUAAGUCUGAUGUGAAAGCCUUCGGCUCAACCGGAGAAUUGCAUCAGAAACUGUUGAACUUGAGUGCAGAAGAGGAGAGUGGAACUCCAUGUGUAGCGGUGGAAUGCGUAGAUAUAUGGAAGAACACCAGUGGCGAAGGCGGCUCUCUGGUCUGCAACUGACGCUGAGGCUCGAAAGCAUGGGUAGCGAACAGGAUUAG
RNAcentral lists this ribosomal RNA (673 nucleotides) under uncultured bacterium. Its description in RNAcentral is "bacterial SSU rRNA". It matches the Rfam family "Bacterial small subunit ribosomal RNA", at positions 121 to 781 of the family's 1533-position model. The record is from RNAcentral.